UCCGGUGUCACUUUGUCUCUUUUAGAGAGUUGUCUCAUUGGCAAUCAUGCUAUAUCUUCUUUUUUUUAUAUAAUAAAACAAAAACCUGAACGACUUUACAUUAUAAAUUAAAAUGCAUCCUAGUCGUGAUGGAGACAGAGUCAAAUGAACAAAUGGACUAGAUGAAACUGAACGAAAAAAAGAAAGAAAACACCAAUUUGAUCUGAUAGGGGUGAAUUCUAUUCUUUAUUAAUUCAAACUCGAGUUUGGUUUGGAACCGUAUCUAUUGCGAUUAUUACCCAAGGACAGAUAUUACAUAUCUGAACUUCGAUGCUCGAAUUUGAAGUUACCUAUUGAGACGGGUAGAUGGGCGGGGAUCGCGAGGGAAAAUAGAAUAUGUACAUUAUGUAAUGAGGGAAUAGGGGAUGAGUUUCAUAUAUUGUUUACCUGUAAAAAUGCUGAUGUUUCUGCUCUUAGAUCAAAGUUUGUACCAAAUUACUAUGUAAUGAAUCCAAGC
RNAcentral lists this long non-coding RNA (496 nucleotides) under Mytilus galloprovincialis (Mediterranean mussel). Lineage: Eukaryota; Metazoa; Mollusca; Bivalvia; Mytilida; Mytilidae. The record is from RNAcentral.